CUUAUACUGAACCCUGAAAAAACAGAGGUCAUUAUAAAAGGCCCUAAAAGUAUGAGAGACUUCCUAACUGACCAGAUAGUCACUCUGGACAAUGUGUGUGUAGCCUCCAGUGCUACAGUUAAAAACCUAGUUUUAUUUGACCAAGAUUUCUCAUUUAAAGCUCAUAUUGACCAAGCCUGCACUACAGCCUUCUUCCACCUGCGUACCAUAGCCAAGAUUAGAAAUAUUCUGUCU
This is a long non-coding RNA of Sphaeramia orbicularis (orbiculate cardinalfish), 234 nucleotides long. RefSeq lists it as uncharacterized. The record is from RefSeq and is a predicted model, not a curated record. The transcript has 3 exons. NCBI's taxonomy places the organism in Eukaryota, Metazoa, Chordata, Actinopteri, Kurtiformes, Apogonidae.